Molecule: ribosomal RNA, 373 nt
Filed under: uncultured eukaryote
Lineage: Eukaryota
Description: partial 18S ribosomal RNA
Rfam family: Eukaryotic small subunit ribosomal RNA
Source: RNAcentral
UAAUAGUGUAUAUUAAAGUUGUUGCAGUUAAAAAGCUCGUAGUUGAAUGUUGGUGUCGAACGAGCGGUCAGCUUCGGCUGUACUGCUCUCUCGACUCCUUCCUUCUGUGGACUACGUCGCACUUUACUGUGUGGCGCUAGGACGCAGAUCGUUUACUGUGAAAAAAUUAGAGUGUUCAAAGCAGGCCGUACGCUUGAAUACAUUAGCAUGGAAUAAUGGAAUAGGACGUCGGGCCUAUUUUGUUGGUUCUAGGACCGUCGUAAUGAUUAAUAGGGACAGUUGGGGCCGUUUAUAUUCCGUAGUCAGAGGUGAAAUUCUUGGAUUUACGGAAAAUAAACUACUGCGAAAGCAUUCGGCAAGGAUGUUUNCGUUA